Molecule: ribosomal RNA, 253 nt
Filed under: uncultured bacterium
Lineage: Bacteria
Description: partial 16S ribosomal RNA
Rfam family: Bacterial small subunit ribosomal RNA
Source: RNAcentral
UACGUAGGGUGCGAGCGUUGUCCGGAAUUAUUGGGCGUAAAGGGCUCGUAGGCGGUUUGUCGCGUCGGGAGUGAAAACCUUGGGCUUAACUCAGGGCUUGCUUUCGAUACGGGCAGACUAGAGGUAUGCAGGGGAGAACGGAAUUCCUGGUGUAGCGGUGAAAUGCGCAGAUAUCAGGAGGAACACCGGUGGCGAAGGCGGGACUCUGGGCCGAUACUGACGCUGAGGAGCGAAAGCGUGGGGAGCAAACAGG